Molecule: long non-coding RNA, 4280 nt
Filed under: Fukomys damarensis (Damara mole-rat)
Lineage: Eukaryota; Metazoa; Chordata; Mammalia; Rodentia; Bathyergidae
Description: lncRNA (ENSFDAG00000024173.1)
Source: RNAcentral
AUGAGGCUCCUCACAAAGGGAACGAAGCUGGUUCAGAAUGCCUCCCGGAUCUGUCCACCUUCUGGCUACAGAGGAAGCCUAAAAUUCCUUCAAAAGCCCCCUUACUUCAGCCAUGGCUGGGGUUGGCCUGGAGUCUGGCCACCCUGGGAGCAAUUGUCCAUGGGGCAGCAGGAAACUGGACCAGGCCCAGAGGCCCAGCAGAAGCAGGUUCCUCCUGAAGUGAGCAGCCUUCUCUGUGACUGCGCCAUCUUGCAAGUCCCCACCUUGCUUAAAUCCGACAUCCUGCCCAUCGCUGAGUUUCAUUUCUGCAGUGAGAAAGCUGAAAGGCCCUCUGGGCGAUGGGAAGGGCCGUGUCAUUGCUCUCCUGGUUCAGGAGACCUCACUGUCAUCCUUUCAUGGGGAAUCAGCCAGGCAGCUUCUGUGGUUGCGACCACACCUUUACCUUUUCCAGAUGGUUGUGUCUCCCUAAAUCUGUGCUGGUGCCCUACCUUGGAAAGGGGCCUGUGGCCUUCAAAGAGGUGAUAAAGGCUUAGAGGGAUCACAAGGGAACCUUAAUCCAAUCUGCGUGGAGCCCUUGAAAGAAGAAGAGUUAGGACACAGAUGCACUGAGAGAUGACCGCAUGAGGACCCAGUGACACGGCCACUUGCAAGCCAAGAAGAGAGACCACAGACCAAAGCCUCAUGAUCUGGACCUGGUCCCUUGACCUCCAGAGCUGAAAGGAAGUGAAUGUGUGCUGCUAAGCCCCCAUCUGGGGUAGUGGCCCCCAUCUGGGGUAGCCCAGCAGGCUAGUGGAUCCCGGCCAGCUCUGUGGGACCCAUGGUCUCUGGGAGCUUAGCUAUGAGAGGGGCUCAUCUGUCCCAGGCAGGAGGAAGAGAGGGAGGGUUCCCAGCAAAGCAAGAACCAUCUGCUCCUAGGACAAAGUUCUGGAUGGUGCCAGGGGACUGGCCCAAGGAGCUUUGGACAACAACAGUCAGAACGGGCCCCUGGGGAACCUGGGGCUUGCUUAGAAGAAGAUGCAUAGCCCACACAUUUACGCAGAAGCAUGACAUAUUUGUGGGGUAGUGCAUGAUGAAGGAAUACUGCAGCACCAUUGCCACACUGAGUUCCUUCUGUGCACAGCACCACAUGGAUGUGUCCAAACCUGCCUGGGGGGCCUGCAGUUUCCAUUUCCUUGGUUUAUGUGGUUAUGUUCCAAGCAGCUGCUUUGGCUCACAUGCUCCCGCGGAAACCAGUCUGGGAGAUGGGAGACAAUGUAUGACCCGCUCAUGCACUCAGCAGCUGCAGCAAACCCCUCACAGCCUCAGAUCUAUGGGCCCAUGGGUAGCACAGGCCAGGCUGGUCACAGCAGCUUCACUGAUGUUGGCUCAAAGCUGGGAAUCUGGGGAAGCUGAGGAAGGUGCCCUACAGAUCUUGGAACUGCUCCCAACUUUAAGCACUCAGCACUCACAUUCUCAUGGUUUGCAAGGUAAAGAGUGUGUUGAUCAAUAAGGCGUAACAACACACAUUCACAUUAACAAGACACUUUUUUUUUUCUGGUGCAGUGAGUCUAAUUCAGGACCUUGCACUUGCUAGGUAGGCAAGGUGCCACUGAGCUAUAUCCCCAGCCCUAAUAAGAUACACAUUUAAGUUCAAUUCAUUUAUACUCCUUUGUGCAGUUCCCAAGCUACUUAGUUCUGUAAUAUUUUUUCCAAAAAUCAUACUUUUACAGUAUGAUCAUGUGUGUGUGUGUGUGCAUGCGCUUGUGUGAGUGUGCGUGUGUGUGUGUGUGUGUGUGUAUGUAUCUAUGAAAAAUAAAGCCAGUAGUUUCAGGGAAUUAUGGUCUAUAUCUAGAUGGCCCCCAAAGCCUCAUAUACUCAUAGGUGGCGCUUUUGGAAGGUGACUGGGUUAUGGGGACUUAUCCCUGACUUGCUCUUUUUGUUUUCUGUGUGUGUGGUACUGGGGAUCAAACCUGGGUCUGUGGGAUUGCGAGGCAGGUGGGGGAACCACUGAGCUACAUCCAGGGCCCAUCACUGACUUGUUCUUAGGAGGCAGGGCCUGGUCAGAAAAGAGUCACUUGGGCGUGGCCUGGAAGGGUUCAUUCCUCCCUACCCCCUCCUUCCUGUGGGCCAUGCCUUGAGCAGCUCCCCUCUGCCACACCCCUCUCCAUGCCUCCUGCCUUGGAGCCAGCCCACUAUGGACUGAAACUUCUACAGACUGUGAGCCAAAUAAACCCCCUUUAAUGUCCAGGUGUUGGGUACCAUGUUUCAGUAACAAGAAAGUGACUGAGACAAGAUUUCAGAGAUUAUCUCUGGGUUGUUAGACUUAUGGGAUUUUUUUCAGCCACUUUAUACUUUAUUAAAUUUAGAUUUAUUUCUCAACAAAUAAUAAUUUUUCAAUUUAAAAACAGUUAAACAUGGGCCAGGGAUUUGUUUAUGGGAUUUUUUUCAGCCACUUUAUACUUUAUUAAAUUUAGAUUUAUUUCUCAACAAAUAAUUUUUCAAUUUAAAAACACUUAAACAUGGGCCAGGGAUUUAGCUCAGAGGUUCGGUGGCCUGCCUUGCAAGCGCAAGGACCUGAGUUCAAUCCCAAAAACAACAACAACAACAAAACAGUUAAACAUUAAAUUGUAGAGAGAAAGCUCAGAGACAGGAUGCUGUGUGGCUUACUGGGAUCUCGGAUGCCCGUGGGUCCCCUACUUUUGUGUUUCUGGCUUCUCCCAGGCCCACUGUGAGACUGAAGUCACCCAGCAUCAGCCAGCGCCACUGUCAGGGCUGCUGUGGCCCCUACAGUUCUCUGUGAAUCACCCUGAAAUUCAGGACCGGCACUCAAGAAGCCCUGACACCCCUCAGUGCUAGCCCUCUCUGGCAUCUGAGAGGACAACCCGAGAAAGGGUCAAGGCAGAGCCCAAGUCUGCCUGCGUCCCUCAUGUGGGGAGCAGCCUUGAAGUUCCCUUUUGCCCUGCAGACCCUGUGCCGUAUUCCCAGCACUCGGGAGGCUGAAGCAGGAUGAUUGCUGCAUAGUGAGUUCAAUGCCAUCCUGGACUACAUAGUGAGACUCUGUUUCAAAAAACCAAAAGAGGAGAGGAGUCAGGGGAGAGCUCUGGCUGGCUGCUUGUGCUGCUGCAGCAUUUACUAUGACAUAAUUCAUGGGUUACAUUCCUAAUCUUACCCCCAAAGUUUGCCAGAAAGAACCUCAUUGCUAUUACUAUUUUCCCAUUGUUCUAGUAUAUCAGUAUUCUUCAGAAACAAGAGAUGUCAUUGUAUUUGCAGCAUUCUGUCGUUAGGAGUGGUACUGUAUUUCCAUUUACAGAACACAGUGAUUCUCCAUCACUGAAAAUCAAAUGCAUGCUUGACAGUGAGCUGCACUUCUUGUUCCCAAGCGGAAAGUGGCCAAACCCCUGCAGAUCUAACAGAGCCCUUUCUCUAAGUGCCUGUGGCUUGAGAGAGGGGCCACAGCUUGCAACCUAUUUAUCUGCAGGGGCCCUGGUUCCCAAAGAAAGGGUAAGAAUGUUCUGCUGCUAAAAUCCCAAGCAAGCUUCUUCCAGAACAGUCUGGUUAGCUAGUGUCCAAAGUCUGGUUAACUAGGCCCUAUUUGUCCUUUGCAAAAAUAAACAAGGGCGUGGACGCUAGGUCAGACUCAAGCUGAGCAUGGGGAUCCCUGCUGGUACGUGGCAGCAGGCAGGCGGGGGAGGGGGGAGCUGGAGAGAUGUACCAGGGGCAGCUGCCGGGGGCCCCACAGUGGCUCCCAGCCCUGCCCACGGGCCCACACCCAGCCUCAGCUGCCCAGCGGGCCGCGGGGAGCUGUGGGUCAGAAGCUCCUCAGUGAGAAGGAAGCCAAGUUUUCACCUGAGAACUUCCGCCCCCACUGUCCCUCCUCAGCCAGUUUCUAUGUCUUACUUUGAGACAGAGUCUCACUAAGUCAUCAAGUUGCCCAGAGCACUGCGGUUACAGGCGUGCACCCCACACCCAGCUAGGAGCAGGGAGUCUGAAAGGCAGAGUGGCCCUGGCUGUUGUGGGGUGCUCUGGUGUCCCAGAAGCCCUAACUGCCCCAGCUAUGCUCCUGCUCCUCUCUGGGGAGACCUCAGAAUCGCACCGCUCACCUGCUGGACCAGGACCCCCCACCCCCACCCCAGGCGCGGCUGGCGCAGAGGAGAUAACCUGCCUCGCGGGGUGAGGCCGGCAGGGGGCGCUGCCACCGGCGCCUGACUGGACUGGAGGCUCUGGCUGGGAGCGCUGCAGAGGCCUUGGAUCUGGACCGUGAGGAGCUGGGUCUGGUGUGCAGGGGAGCAUCGAGAACCAUG